RNAcentral lists this long non-coding RNA (2772 nucleotides) under Homo sapiens (human). Its description in RNAcentral is "PREDICTED lncRNA (TCONS_00022992)". Lineage: Eukaryota; Metazoa; Chordata; Mammalia; Primates; Hominidae. The record is from RNAcentral.
UUGAUUCUUCUUUCUAAAUCUGUAUAAAAAGGAUAUUUUCUUGAAAAACCACAAGAAAAAUACAACUGCUUUUUCAUUGCCCAGGUCAGUUACUCGCUACAGUCAGACUGCAUUUAAAUUAGACUGGCAUCUAAUACUUUUGAGUAUUUACAAAUAUAAUUAAAACUAUACUCCUAGACCACCAGCUUUCAAAAAAGUUGGAUCUGCUUGACUUGCAAUAAAUAUGUACCAAACAUGAAUAAUUUCUAAGCCGCUUAUGAGGAGGUUUUAAAAAUUACUAACAUUUAUUAAGCAGUUUGUGUGUCAGGCAUAUUGUGAGUGCUUUGCUUUAUACAAAUUCACUUACUUUUUUCAGAAUUCCUUUGAGGUAGGGUAGGUACUUUUAGAAAUGCCAUUUUACAUGUGAAAAGUGAGGUUGGAAGAGCCUCAGUAACCUGCCCAGGGCCACACAGCUAGAAGGUGAGCCAGCACUUGAGCCACGUUUCUCUUUCCAGCCAGAUUCUCAGCACUCAGCUGUGCUGCUGGUGGUCACAGCUGGCUGACUGGACCAGGAAGAACCUUUUAGUGUCAGGCGUGUGAAUCACAGCACUUGGGACAGGUUACCAAGAACCAUGAUCACUUAAUUUUUAUAUUUAUACAUGUACAUUUGUAUAUACAUAGAGAAAGUGCAGGCAAAACCAUUAUACAGUUACUCUAAUAGCCAUUUGCUACUGCCAGCAGUCUCAGGACUGAUCCCUGUCUAAGCUGGCAAGUUUACAUUCUCCUUGUAUCACUACAGGAUUUGCUCUGGACAGGAGCUGUAACUCCUCAACAAAUCCUGCUUUCAGUCUACUACUGCACAGCUUGAAUUGUUCAGUAGGCCCAGCUUUUUGUGAAAGAAAAGGCCUUGCCAUGGUAUAAAGAGUUUUUUUCCCUCUAUAAAAGAUGUAAAAUUUUUGGCUGGGUGCAGUGGCUCACGCCUGUAAUCCCAGCACUUUGGGAGGCCGAGACGGGCAGAUCAUGAGGUCAGGAGAUCAAGACCAUCCUGGCUAACACGGUGAAAUCCCGUCUCUACUAAAAAUACAAAAAAUUAGCUGUGCGUGAUGGCAUGCGCCUGUAGUCACAGCUACUUGGGAGGCUGAGGCAGGAGAAUCGCUUGAAACUGGGAGGCGGAGGUUGCAGUGAGCCGAGAUGACGCCACUGCAUUCCAGCCUGGCAACAGAGUGAGACUCUGUCUCAAAAACAAAAACAAAAACAAAAAAAGAUGUAAAAUUUUCAUUAGGUAUUUUCAGAAAGUCUUAGUGCUGUUUCUAUACCUUUUAUAUGCUAGUCAAUGUCAGUAGAAAAAAAUGGAACAUCCAUUUCAUUCUCCUGGGCGAUUUCUGGACCAGUUAGCCUUGAUUACUAGCAGUGGUAUGCUGGUAAAUGUUUAACCACUGGCUCUCCGGGAUCUGUAGCUUUUGCCAGUGUCCAUGGUAAUACUCCCACCAGGCUGAUUUCAAGCUACCAACAUGCUAUCACGAAGAGUGGAGUUGAGACAAGGUGCACAGUAGCACACCAUCAUAUAUAGUAAUUCCACCACACAGGUACCAUGGACGUAAAUUACCUCAAGAGCAUCAAGAUCAAAUUAGGAAGUGAUAUGCUUUGAAUAUUUAUUACCUUUGUUUUAAAUGUAAUUGAUUUAAUUAUAAGUUUGUAUGAUUUGAUUUUUAAUAAUGGCUGCAUUUAAUAACCAGCUGUCAAAAUGAAAAUUUUACAAUCAGCUUUUCUAAGUUGGUAUGAGCCAGCUUAGCAUACCACUACAUUAGUAUACCAAAGAGAGCAAGAUUCAACUUUUCCUUUUGGUGUUUGAGAAUAUAGAUAAGCUAUUGAUGUCUGCAGCAGGAAUUUAAGAGACUUUGGACUAUUAAGUGAAAAGCACGAAAAUCCUUUGAGCAUGCCAGGGAAUAACUUGCAGCUUGUUUUGCUUAAAUUGAAAUAUAUCUACAUAUAGCAAUGAUCAUGGAGCUUUACAAUUUCAACCUAUUUUUACAAACUUCAAUGAAGAAUGAUCUCAAACCCAGAGUAUGGUCCAUGCAUGAGGUGACAAAUGGAGUGAAGCGCGCGGCUGUCUCCUUCCUUCCCAUCUGGGUAUCUGGACAGCUCUUACCAACAGUCUGAACCAGGGAAGAAGAUAACUUGAGAAGCCAGGGAGGACAGAGUCUCCGCCUGGGCACCUUCUCUUAAGAACUGGCUUUGCACACAGCCGAUGCAGUCCCUGGGCACUUUGAAAGCAGUGGGCAAAAGGGCAGGUUACACUAAAGCAAGUCCCAGAUGUCACAUCAUUUCAAUGAGGAGGGUAUGGUGAGAUGCAGCUCUUCCCCUCCCUCCAGCAGGGCAAAAGAGGAGGAAAGGAGAAUGGAGUCACAAUGAGGGAGAUUUUGGAGGCCGGAAGAUCUAGAUGUGAGGUCCUCUCUGUCAGUUUCUGGAAGUGUGACUGACCUAGGGUCCCCACAUACCGAACCAACCAGCAUCUGCAGCACCAUCUCGCCAACUCCUGCCCCUGUCACCAGCACUGUGGUUGCACAGCCUAACAAAAAGAGAAGGUUUGGUUUGGUAAAAGCAAGUUAAGGAGACAGAAGCCAGCAUUACAAUCCAGGUUGCUGGCCAGGCACAGUGGCAUAUGCAUUUCGGAAGGCACAUCCCAGUACUUUAGGAGUCAGAAGUGGGAGGAUCUCUUGAGGCCAGGAGUUCAAGACCAGUCUGGGCAAUAUCACAAGACUUGGUCUCUACAAAAAGUAAAAUUUAAAAAAA